RNAcentral lists this ribosomal RNA (1249 nucleotides) under metagenome. Its description in RNAcentral is "bacterial LSU rRNA". It matches the Rfam family "Bacterial large subunit ribosomal RNA", at positions 1636 to 2877 of the family's 2925-position model. The record is from RNAcentral.
AUACGACCGUACCGCAAACCGACACUGGUGCGCGAGAUGAGUAUUCUAAGGCGCUUGAGAGAACUCAGGAGAAGGAACUCGGCAAAUUGACACCGUAACUUCGGAAGAAGGUGUGCCCUAUUAGUGUGUAGUGAACAACGAAGCAUGAAUGGGUUGCAAAAAAUCGGUGGCUGCGACUGUUUAUUAAAAACACAGCACUCUGCAAACACGAAAGUGGACGUAUAGGGUGUGACGCCUGCCCGGUGCUGGAAGAUUAAAUGAUGGGGUGCAAGCUCUUGAUUGAAGUCCCAGUAAACGGCGGCCGUAACCAUAACGGUCCUAAGGUAGCGAAAUUCCUUGUCGGGUAAGUUCCGACCUGCACGAAUGGCGUAACGAUGGCCACACUGUCUCCUCCUGAGACUCAGCGAAGUUGAAAUGUUUGUGAUGAUGCAAUCUCCCCGCGGAAAGACGGAAAGACCCCAUGAACCUUUACUGUAGCUUUGUAUUGGACUUUGAACAGAUCUGUGUAGGAUAGGUGGGAGGCUUUGAAGCAGGGUCGCUAGAUCUUGUGGAGCCAACGUUGAAAUACCACCCUGGUGUGUUUGAGGUUCUAACCUAGGUCCAUUAUCUGGAUCGGGGACAGUGCAUGGUAGGCAGUUUGACUGGGGCGGUCUCCUCCCAAAGCGUAACGGAGGAGUUCGAAGGUACGCUAGUUACGGUCGGACAUCGUGACGAUAGUGCAAUGGCAUAAGCGUGCUUAACUGCGAGACUGACAAGUCGAGCAGAUGCGAAAGCAGGACAUAGUGAUCCGGUGGUUCUGUAUGGAAGGGCCAUCGCUCAACGGAUAAAAGGUACUCUGGGGAUAACAGGCUGAUACCGCCCAAGAGUUCAUAUCGACGGCGGUGUUUGGCACCUCGAUGUCGGCUCAUCUCAUCCUGGGGCUGUAGCCGGUCCCAAGGGUAUGGCUGUUCGCCAUUUAAAGAGGUACGUGAGCUGGGUUUAAAACGUCGUGAGACAGUUUGGUCCCUAUCUUCCGUGGGCGCUGCAGAUUUGAGGAAGCCUGCUCCUAGUACGAGAGGACCGGAGUGGACACACCUCUGGUGUAUCGGUUGUCACGCCAGUGGCAUUGCCGAGUAGCUAAGUGUGGAAGAGAUAACCGCUGAAAGCAUCUAAGCGGGAAACUCGUUUCAAGAUGAGAUCUGCCGGGGCCUUGAGCCCCCUAAAGAGUCGUUCAAGACCAGGACGUUGAUAGGUCAGGUGUGGAAGCGAA